CUUAAAUGAUAUAUUCAAUAUUGUUUUUAAAUAAUUCCAUCUAUGAUCAACUGCUUGUCCAAUGAAAGUUCAGAGUGUAUUUGAAUAAUUUUAAUGAAAAUAUUGUACGUACUGAUCGGUCAGGGAGUGGUUUCGGUUUUUUAACCAAAAUAAAUGUUUGCUUCUGAGAACUUUUUUGCUUUGACUAACAUGCGAAGAUUGUGUUUUUUAGGGUGAACCGGGUGCACCUGGUCCUAAAGGAAGUCAGGGUGACAGAGGCAGCGAUGGUGCCCCGGGGGCCCCUGGCACACCAGGUGAAUUUGGACUGAAGGGAACCAAAGGAGAGGUGUAGCAGGAGACCCUGGGACCAGAGGGUUUGAAGGAA
This 364-nucleotide long non-coding RNA is filed under the name Scleropages formosus (Asian bonytongue). RNAcentral describes it as "lncRNA (ENSSFOG00015033361.1)". Lineage: Eukaryota; Metazoa; Chordata; Actinopteri; Osteoglossiformes; Osteoglossidae. The record is from RNAcentral.